Long non-coding RNA from Osmerus eperlanus (European smelt), 1971 nucleotides. RefSeq lists it as uncharacterized. The transcript has 2 exons. NCBI's taxonomy places the organism in Eukaryota, Metazoa, Chordata, Actinopteri, Osmeriformes, Osmeridae. The record is from RefSeq and is a predicted model, not a curated record.
GCCUAUUGACACCUUUCCACGAAGUUUCAUGAAAAUCGGGUCGGAAGUUUUUACAUAGUCUUUUGAGCCUUGGUAAAUCUGACUUUUGUCCUUGGUAAGUAUAUUUUUUCAUCUCUCAGUCUGUUACAAGUAGGCCUAGCCUAUUGACACCUUUCCACGAAGUUUCAUGAAAAUCGGGUCGGAAGUUUUUACAUAGUCUUUUGAGCCUUGGUAAAUCUGACUUUUGUCCUUGAUCUUUGUCUCUGAAAUCUAUAAUGGGGAGCACAAUCACCCAUGUGGCCAAUGCCUCGGGGAUGCCCAUCCGGGUUUACUACAGCGUGGAUAAAAUGCGGCUGGAGGAGCUGGUGAAUGAAGUCAAUGUCAGACAGGAUACCACGAGUCAAUCAACAAAGAUGAUUUUCAAAUCCGACUCCCGUGUCCGCUUCAUACUUAUUCCGGAAGAAGAGUUCGGCAAAAUUAUAGAAAGAGGGCCACUUUACGUCACCGUCUUGUUGGAGAGCAACGACUCCAGUAAUGAAUGCCUGAAGGCCAUCUCUGAGAACUUCUGCAUCCCCAACAACAGGUCCAUUAUUGUGACGAAAAAAGGCCACAUAAAGUGGCAGAAAUAUGGGGAAAACAUUUGGGAAGAUGAGCAAGGCAGAAGACACAAGUAGAGCAAAGUUGAGUAUUCAAUAAGGAUAGGAAUCAGAUAAUGUGAAUGUUUACAGUUUUUCUCCCUGCCACUGAAAAGUACUUCACAUAAUUAUUUUUGUAAUCAACAGGUUCAAGAAAUGACCAGUAGGUGGUGGUAGUGCACUUUGAACAGUUGUCUCUCAUACUCAAUGAAUAAACGCCAAAGAUACAGUCCCCAAAUCCUGAUGAAAGGUUGCUGAUAUGUAUGUUGUUGUUUUUUUGGAGCACACACACUGGAUGGAUAUCUUAACCCUUGUGCUGCCUUCGGGUCACAUGACCCAAAGGUUCAUAACGAACCAUCGUUGUGUUUACCCAAUUUUACCCAAUACAAAAACAAAUAAAAAUAUUUUUCUUUUAACCUUUACAAUGUGGGGGGUCUGAGAGAGCCCAACGGUUAAAAGAAAAUGCUUCACUUUGUUUUUGUAUGCGGUAAAUUUGUCGCAAUACGACGGUGGGUCACAAUGACUGAUGGGUCAGAAUGACCCGAAGAUAACAGGAAUUAAGGAAUUAAGGAUUAAGGAUUCCCCUCACAUUCCUUAAUUAAGGUUAAGGAAUGUGAGGGGAAUUUCGCUGAAUUGCAUGUAGAGCGGUGUAUUUCCCAUUCUAAAAGUUAAAAUAGAAUCAUUUUAACAAUUUGGAAAUAGUUUUUCAAUCAAACAAACAGGGAAAAAUAGUUUGGUGGAUAUAUUCUAAAACAUAAUUACUUACUAAUCAGUAGUAAAUGUUAAAACCUUCUCUAUACUGUUCUUACUCUUCUUUUCCCCAAAGGUUCACCCAUGUUUUUUCAAGAUUAGCCUUUAUUCUUAUACCCUAAGUAGGCCUACACCAUCUCUUGGUCAGUUUUUGGCACUUUCAGUUUGCAGUUUGUACAACUCAUUUACGUGUAACUGGGAAUACAUGAGAUUACAUUAAAUUCCACAGUUCCACAUGCAGAAUUCCCCUGCCAUUAAAUGAACAUCUCACUGUAUACAGCAUCCAAGCUCUGUUCAACAGGAUCAGAAUGCGCAAAUCGUUUUUCUAUUCAUUAUUCUCAUAAUGUCAGUGUAACUGACAAUUCCACAUAAGCCUGUAAAAAAGCACAUGGGGAGAGAACUACCAGUAGCUACCGUACAUGUACCAUACAUCUCUGCAUCCAUUUCUGCGGCAGCAAAUCUCUUUGUCAUCUUAAUCAUAAUCAUCAUCCCGUGAUGAAAAGCAUUCUGUUGGGGGUAACUGCUGCUACAAGUUGAAAUGGGCAUCAACUGAUAUUUACUUUGUAUCAUGUCGAAUAUGAUUAAAACCAAGGUGAAGAAAAAUAUG